AUCAUGACGAACGCCAAGGCGCGUGCGUAGUUGAUCCAAUUCGAACCGUUCAUCAUCUACUACAUCUAUAGAAGGGCGCAUCCAUUGAACAUUUUUCUCGAAACUUGUCCCAUGGCCCGUCGAUAUCGCUUCUUCCACCGACUUCGAGGGUUCUGGAAAUGCAUCUUGCUCAAACUGGCUGCCUCCCUCCCUCCGUGUAGCUCAUGCCCAUUCCCUGUUUGACCCUUCUCGGGCCUGCUCGAGCGAUACAUACAUCAAAUGGUCGCCUGGAAUAUAUGCCGGGUAGAGGAUGGAACGGGACGACAUCAUCACAUCUGCCCAGCGGCGAGAAAUUCUGAAAUUCGAGGCUUUGUUUGGUGAACUGGAAGAGGACACAAGCGCCAGCGCGCACAAUCAUUGAUGAUAGAGGUCCCUAUGAUAGAGGUAUCCCGAUAGACGCUUUCAAUUAUCCGGGCAUUCGGGGUCUGCUAUCAUGAAAGGAUCCUUGUAACAUUCAUUUAUUACAUCUCUAACACUCCGAUAUCCACGUCUACACUGUCUACCUUGCCCUUUGUCAAACCAUGGAUGGGUAUCAUUAUUAUUGUUAUUAUUACCUCUAUCAUUAUCAUUUGGGUAUACAACGCUGUCCCUUA
This is a non-coding RNA of Neurospora crassa OR74A, 632 nucleotides long. Lineage: Eukaryota; Fungi; Ascomycota; Sordariomycetes; Sordariales; Sordariaceae. The record is from RefSeq and is a predicted model, not a curated record.